CCUAGAUUGAAGCGAUGGUUCAUGAAGAAACCGAUUAUUCCAUCCUAUAAGAUGGUGUCACUAGUAAUGGAAAGAGUCAAUGUGAAUAAUUAAGUUUUUUUUGGUGAAAUCUUUCAUAUUAUAAGUUUAUUACUGUGGUUUUGCUUGUUGAACAAUUUAUUUUCGUAUAGGAUGUAGUGCAAUUUACUCUUACUCCUACUACUACGGAGUUAGAAAAAGCAUAUCUUUACAACUGGAAGGAUUUGGAGACUGUUAUUGCUGCUUCUCCGGAUUCUCCGAAUCAUGCUAUUGCUGCAUCUCCAGAUACUCUGGAUCGUGUUGUUGUUGCCUCUUUGAGUUCUCCGGAUCAUGGUGCUGUUUCCGCUUCUCCGUAUCGUGAGAUUAUGACUGCUGUCAUUGCCUCCCAAGGUACAUCAUCUUACUUUCCUGUGUGCUGCUUUCCUGGACCAUUUAGUUGUUUGUGUUAUAAGAAAAUAUAGGCUGAUUGAAUCAUCCUCAAACUGUUUUUGUUCCAAAUGAUCCAGAUUCUCCGGAUCAUGGCAUUAUGACUGCUUCUUCUCCGGAUCAUGGAAGGACGCAUGUUGUUGCCUCCCAAGGUACAUCUUCU
Molecule: unclassified non-coding RNA, 607 nt
Filed under: Hevea brasiliensis (rubber tree)
Lineage: Eukaryota; Viridiplantae; Streptophyta; Magnoliopsida; Malpighiales; Euphorbiaceae
Source: RNAcentral